Small nucleolar RNA from Lactuca sativa (garden lettuce), 108 nucleotides. The record is from RefSeq and is a predicted model, not a curated record. NCBI's taxonomy places the organism in Eukaryota, Viridiplantae, Streptophyta, Magnoliopsida, Asterales, Asteraceae.
AUAUCAUGUUGAGGGCAAACUUCUAAGCAAUCCCUUGUAUCUCUCCCAAGCUUAGUACAAUAACUCACCAACCUCUUAUUGAAAGUAGGUUAUCUUCUUCUUAAGCUU